GGACCUAUUAUUCUGAGUUGAACAUGAUCAGAGUAUGGAGUCGAGGAGCAGUCAGCAUUGGGAAACUAGAGGAUAGGCCAGCAUGGUGACCCAGCUGGCCUGAUUCAGGGUCAAGGGAAUGAAAGAAGUGGAAUAAUCAGAGUGAGAUUGACAUGUGAUCAGGAAGGGAGGGAGGAUUCAGACACUGAGUUGUAGCAUGUAAGGCAGAAGCAGUAGAGGAAAUGAGAAAUUGGCUCCCACUUUGGAUAUUUAUUUAAAACUGGGGUGUGAAAGUGAGUGAGCACAUCCAGGUUCUGCUGAGACCCCCUCCGGUCCCAGCCCACCCCUCCCUAGCAAGACCUACCCCGACCCACACCCCAGCAUCACUGCCCUUAAGGGGAGAUGGAUGAAAACACCUGGAGGAAUUAUGCACAUUAAUUUACAUCUGGGUCUGAAUUCCCCAUGCCCGCCCUCCUGUCAUUUUGCUAUUUCAAAGAAUAACAUACCAGGGCUUUUUAUUCCAGCCCUGUGGUGGUGCCCUUUUUGAGAGAAUAAAUCCCAAGUAGUGUUGCCAAAAGCCAGUGACAUUUGCCAUGUUUGAAAAGGCCUUAUUUUGAAGAAUGAUUAUUGAUUCUUUUUCACAUUUCAGAUCAUUCCUUUGAUGCUGCCUUUGACUGGCCCUGGUGAGCAACCCUCAGCUGCGUUCCUGGCUCCUUGACACAGCAGUUCACCCGAAAAGAUUGGUGUGUUCUUCCAAGUAGUGCUUGCCCUGAGCCUAACCACCAGAAAGCUACUGUUUCUCUGAUUAUUUCAUCACACAGAGGAGCUGCUCCAAGCCUUGGCAGGGUUAUUGAGAAUAUGCAGAUAUGCUUGUAAAUGAGCACAGAUAUAAAGGACAAACUCUGAAAUGGAUAUGCUGGAGAGGCUGGGUUCUAAGGAGCUAGACAUUCACGUGUCCCACCAGACUGUAGAGACUCAUGGGUGUGUUACAUAAUGAUAGACUUUUUUUGAUCUGGAACCCAGUGUCUGCUGCCAGUGAGAUAUGUGAGGAUAGGACCACACAUUAUUCCUUCCUGUCUCUCCAGUUCCUGACAUUAUCCUGGCAUAAGGUUUGUGUGAAUUUAUUCUACACAUUGAAUAACUAAGUAUAGAAGAUGAUACACAUGGCCCAGACCUGCCUCCAAAAUAGUCUCUCAGAGAUCACUAGAACAUUAAAAGUCGUGAUUUAGCAAACGCUAUAUGAGAGGAGGAGGAAAAGGCAAAGUCACAGAGGUACAUGCACCCCAAUGCAACAUAUGAGUAACUUUUAUUUCAGUUCUUUCUUCUGUGAUCAGAGCUGUUGUCUUCCUAUGGAGCUAGAACAGUGAAAUAUAAUCAGGUGGAUGGAAGAUCAGACAUUCCUUUUGCUCCAGAAAUAAAAAGAACUUCUCUGGAGGCAACAUACUCCUCAAUAAUUAACACUCAACAUUACUU
RNAcentral lists this long non-coding RNA (1452 nucleotides) under Sus scrofa (pig). RNAcentral describes it as "lncRNA (ENSSSCG00045037947.1)". The record is from RNAcentral. Lineage: Eukaryota; Metazoa; Chordata; Mammalia; Artiodactyla; Suidae.